AUGUUAUCAACUUUAGAGGGGUUCAACCCGUGUUUAUCCCUGCUGUCUGGAAAUUGAGAGUUCCCCCUAAAAUUCAUGUAUUUCUCUGGCUUCUCUCCAAAAACAUUGAUGACUAGGGAUAACCUUAGGAAGAGACACAUCAUCAAACCCCUUGAUUGUGUUUACCUUGAACAAGAGUCUUGUUCUCACCUAUUUUUUGAAUGUAUAGUUGCUAAACAUCUCUGGGCCCACAUUGAGGAAUAUUUCUUUAGUCAGAUUGGCUCAUCCUUCGAAUCUGUCGUCAGAUUCUGGAUUGCUACCAAAAAGUGCUCAGUUUUAAACACUGUUAGCUCAGCUGUCCUUUGGUGCCUCUGGAAAUAUAGAAAUGCUAUGAUUUUCAGUAACACCUCCUGGAUUUCCAUUCCACAGGUCUUGAGGUUGAUCAGAAACAUGGUGAGGAACUCGGCGAUUCUCUCCUCCGGAUCGGACAAGGACAAGUUGAUGAGCUUCAUGGAAACCCUAACAAGAUCCCUCCAGAAACCGUUGGCGAUCACUUGUGGCUGA
RNAcentral lists this ribosomal RNA (543 nucleotides) under Triticum aestivum (bread wheat). RNAcentral's name for it is "partial small subunit ribosomal RNA". Lineage: Eukaryota; Viridiplantae; Streptophyta; Magnoliopsida; Poales; Poaceae. The record is from RNAcentral.